GGCCUACCAUGGUUUUAACGGGUAACGGGGAAUUAGGGUUCGAUUCCGGAGAGGGAGCCUGAGAAACGGCUACCACAUCCAAGGAAGGCAGCAGGCGCGCAAAUUACCCAAUCCCGACACGGGGAGGUAGUGACAAUAAAUAACAAUACGGGGCUCAUUUGGGUCUCGUAAUUGGAAUGAGUACAAUUUAAAUCUCUUAACGAGGAACAAUUGGAGGGCAAGUCUGGUGCCAGCAGCCGCGGUAAUUCCAGCUCCAAUAGCGUAUAUUAAAGUUGUUGCAGUUAAAAAGCUCGUAGUUGAACUUCGGGGUUCACCCAUUGGUCAGGCUUAAUUGUCUGUACUGGUGAGAUGAGUCUCUACCUUCUGAGGAACUUUCAUGCCAUUUAUUUGGGGUGAGCGGAAAUCAGGACUGUUACUUUGAAAAAAUUAGAGUGUUUAAAGCAGGCUAACGUCUGAAUACAUUAGCAUGGAAUAAUGAAAUAGGACGGAUUGAUUCUAUUUCGUUGGUUUCUAGGAUCACCGUAAUGAUUAAUAGGGAUAGUUGGGGGCAUUAGUAUUCAAUUGUCAGAGGUGAAAUUCUUGGAUUUAUUGAAGACUAACUACUGCGAAAGCAUUUGCCAAGGAUGUUUUCAUUAAUCAAGAACGAAAGUUACGGGAUCGAAGACGAUCAGAUACCGUCGUAGUCUUAACCAUAACUAUGCCGACUAGGGAUCGGACGCAGUUAAUUUUAUAUGACGUGUUCGGCACCUUACG
RNAcentral lists this ribosomal RNA (753 nucleotides) under uncultured Glomeromycotina. Its description in RNAcentral is "SSU rRNA". It matches the Rfam family "Eukaryotic small subunit ribosomal RNA", at positions 338 to 1092 of the family's 1831-position model. The record is from RNAcentral. Lineage: Eukaryota; Fungi; Glomeromycota.